GGGUGAAACCUAGAGGUUAGGGUGACUAGCCGAUAACUAGUCUUUUGUUAGUUCGAUUCUAACUUCAUCCU
RNAcentral lists this transfer RNA (71 nucleotides) under Amphipholis squamata. RNAcentral describes it as "transfer RNA-Ile". It matches the Rfam family "tRNA". From Rfam's summary of the family: Transfer RNA (tRNA) molecules are approximately 80 nucleotides in length. Their secondary structure includes four short double-helical elements and three loops (D, anti-codon, and T loops). Lineage: Eukaryota; Metazoa; Echinodermata; Ophiuroidea; Amphilepidida; Amphiuridae. The record is from RNAcentral.